AUGGAUGAUUUUGCGAAGACAAUAUCUUGGUUGGAGCGCCAAGAAGAGAAGCCAGAGCCAAACGAAUUGAAGGCAAUAGCUGCUGAAGGGGUUAUCACUUGUCUUCAGGAUGCCAUUGAAUCCCUUGAGCAAGGCAAUGAUACCAGUGGGGUGGCGGAGCAGUGGAGCUUCGUCCCCCAUGUUGUGGACGAGCUAGUGCGGCUGGACAGAGAGGGCUCAUCGCUGUCUAAAGAACAGCUCGCCAAACUAGCAACCAAAUGCAAGAAAAUCUACCAGGCCGAGCUCGCACACAUGGACGGUGGUGACAAGAAGGCAAAGGAGCGCCCCGGGAAGACCGGGACGGACGAUGCUGAGUAUGACAGCGAUGAUACGAUCGAGAUGACGGAGGAAGAGAUCGACCUCGAUUGCAGACAGUUCUCGGGGAUUAGUAGUAGCUAG
Molecule: ribosomal RNA, 438 nt
Filed under: Triticum aestivum (bread wheat)
Lineage: Eukaryota; Viridiplantae; Streptophyta; Magnoliopsida; Poales; Poaceae
Description: partial small subunit ribosomal RNA
Source: RNAcentral